RNAcentral lists this long non-coding RNA (2719 nucleotides) under Brassica napus (rape). RNAcentral describes it as "long non-coding RNA (BNAP_LNC023577)". The record is from RNAcentral. Lineage: Eukaryota; Viridiplantae; Streptophyta; Magnoliopsida; Brassicales; Brassicaceae.
GGAAAAGAGUGACCAAGCAGCUGUUCCGUUGCCGGAGAUGGCUGGUCCAGACAGUUUUGAUUCUGAUUUUCCUUCACACAGAUACCGAUCCAUUGCCUCUGGUGACCAGUGGCUUGUGAGACCUGUCUAUGACCCCCAGGGAUGGGAUCACGAUGUUGGGUUUGAUGGAAUAAACAUUGAGACAGCUGCAAAAGUGAAAAAGAAUCUAUUUGCUUCAGCUAACGGACAGGUGAGCAGAGAUAAGCAACGCUUCACCAUCCACUCCGAGACUAACGCAGCUUACACUACAGACUCUAAAUUACAAACAUUCUCCGUAGCUGCCGACGUCCAGUCAUCAGGAGACGAUCUUGUCUACACGUUUCACGGCGGCACGAAGCUUAAAACAUUUAAGCACAACACAACAGAUCUCGGAGUUGGUUUGACAUCUUUUGGCGGGAAGUACUACUUAGCUGGAAAGAUUGAGGAUUCCUUGAUGGUUGGGAAGAGGGUGAAGCUAACAGUGAAUGCAGGUCAGAUGAACGGUUCAGGGGGAACAGCACAUGGAGGGAGCUUUGAAGCUUGUAUCAGAGGGAGAGAUUACCCGGUGAGAAACGAGCAAAUCGGUGUGACGGUGACGGCUCUGUCUUUCAACAAAGAGCUAGUGUUGAACUGGGGGUUACAGACUCAGGUUAGACCAAGCCGGGACACGAACGUAGACGUUAGCGUAAACAUGAACAACAGGAAAAUGGGGAAGAUAAACGUGAAACUCAACAGCUCCGAGCACUGGGAGAUCGCGUUGAUCUCAGCGUUUACGCUUUUCAAGGCGUUGAUACGGAGGAAGAAAGCUGUUAGUGAAAUAACAAACGAAAAUGAGGAAGAGUUGUGAGUGUUCUUGUUCUCCUGGUUUCUCUUUAGGUAAAAAGAAAAUGAUAUUUUGGACAUAUGAAUAGAUAACCCGACGAUGUGUACAAGAGAUGUAAGCGAUGUUUUGAAGACAAAACAGGAAUAUCACAUGCACAUUUGCUUCCCUUGUUGUAUGUAAUACUCUCGUUUUGUUGGUCCAGUACUCCAGUUCAGUGUCAUGUUUAUGUGGUUCGUUAGAAUAACCUUUGGGCUCUCUCAAAUAUGUUGUCAAAAAGCUUUGGGAGUACUAGCUGAUGCCCCGCGCAAAUGCGCGGUUUUAUUUUAUGAGGAUUUAUUUUAUGAUUAUGAUUUUAGUAAAAAGAUUUUAGAUCUUAACAAACAAACACAAUGGAUAGAAAAAAUAGUUAUAUACCAAUUAUUUUCUUACCUUUUCUUCUCACUUUUAAUUUUUUAUAGUGAAGUUUCUUGUUUAAUCAUUCUUAUAAUUGUAGUUGUAAUAAAAAUGACCUUAUAAUUGACUAUAAUGAAUCGAACCGGAUUUUGGAUAAUUCGGUUCAUUACUCGACUAAGUACACAAAACCAAUCACAUAUAAAAUUAAAUUCAGUUUUCAGUUAUUAUUUUAAAGUGCCAUUUCUUUCAUUUUUCAAAAUAGUAAGGAUCGGUUUGGUUAAUGAAAACCGAACAAUUAACCGAUCUAAAAAAAAAACUAAAAGAGAAAAAGAAAAAGUUUGUCACCCAAAUGUCUAAACCAAACCUAAUUUCUCUUUUCGUUUUGUUCUCCGGGUACAGCCGUCUCUUUCUUUUAUUGCAUCUCCUUCUUUUACCUCAGAUUAUUGCUUCAUCUCCUUCUUCAUCUCAUCUCAUGCUUCUUAUUCCUUUGUUGUUGCGUUUCUUCUCUGGAUCAAUUAACACAUAUUUUUUUUCAUCUCUUUUUUUUAAACGAAAUUAUAUUAAAAUUUUAACCCAAAAGGGUAUCAGAAUCUUACAUUCCGACACGGGAGAAACGUUUGCAAGACCAACAUGACGAGGAUUAGACAAGACAUCGAAACAAAAAACACAGCAAAAUCUACGACCCAAAAAAAUCUAAAGAGAGAAGAUACUCAAGCGAGGGUGAGAAGACCUACCAAGGAGCCUCAACUCUGACGAACACUGAUGGUUAGCGGAUCCGACGCCACCACAGACGUCACGACAGCCGGUGUGUUCAAAACCAACCAUGGAUCCAUCUACAAUUAUUCUUCUCAGAAAGAGCCACGAGGUUCUCGGCGAUGUACAGUCUCUGCUGAGGUUUCGUGACAGCAUUGGUUUGGGACAGGCGAGUGGUACACGAACAGCUUCUCUUCCUCAUCUUCUUUCGGUUUUUCUGCGGCGGCGUUUAUCGUCAGGUGGAGAUGAAGCGGAGAGGGAGAUAGACGAGCUUAUGGAUUCGGAGUUGGAGGAGGAGGAGGAGGAUGAGUAUGACCAGCUGCCUGCGAUCCGGAUCCUUGGGAAAACCCGGUUCGAGAAGCUGUCAAAGUCUCAGAAGAGAGAGUAUCUCGAUGAGCUUGAUUACAGAGAAACUCUUUAUCUCAAGAAACAGUUGAAGGAAGAAUGUAGAAGACGAAAGGAUGAAAAGCUUAAUGAAGAGGAAGAGGAAAAGAGUGACCAAGCAGCUGUUCCGUUGCCGGAGAUGGCUGGUCCAGACAGUUUUGAUUCUGAUUUUCCUUCACACAGAUACCGAUCCAUUGCCUCUGGUGACCAGUGGCUUGUGAGACCUGUCUAUGACCCCCAGGGAUGGGAUCACGAUGUUGGGUUUGAUGGAAUAAACAUUGAGACAGCUGCAAAAGUGAAAAAGAAUCUAUUUGCUUCAGCUAACGGACAGGUGAGCAGAGAUAAGCA